UACGUAGGAGGCAAGCGUUGUCCGGAAUUACUGGGCGUAAAGCGCGUGUAGGUGGUGGGACAAGUCUGCUGUGAAAGCGCCUGGCUUAACCGGGCGAGGUCGGCGGAAACUGCCGCACUUGAGGACGGUAGAGGGGGGUGGAAUUCCCGGUGUAGUGGUGAAAUGCGUAGAGAUCGGGAGGAACACCUGUGGCGAAGGCGGCCCCCUGGGCCGGCCCUGACACUGAGACGCGAAGGCGUGGGGAGCGAACGGG
This 253-nucleotide ribosomal RNA is filed under the name uncultured bacterium. Its description in RNAcentral is "partial 16S ribosomal RNA". It matches the Rfam family "Bacterial small subunit ribosomal RNA", at positions 524 to 776 of the family's 1533-position model. The record is from RNAcentral.